Molecule: transfer RNA, 76 nt
Filed under: Schizochytrium sp. TIO1101
Lineage: Eukaryota; Bigyra; Thraustochytrida; Thraustochytriidae
Also listed under: 1 other name
Description: tRNA-Met
Rfam family: tRNA
About the family: Transfer RNA (tRNA) molecules are approximately 80 nucleotides in length. Their secondary structure includes four short double-helical elements and three loops (D, anti-codon, and T loops). Further hydrogen bonds mediate the characteristic L-shaped molecular structure. tRNAs have two regions of fundamental functional importance: the anti-codon, which is responsible for specific mRNA codon recognition, and the 3' end, to which the tRNAs corresponding amino acid is attached (by aminoacyl-tRNA synthetases). tRNAs cope with the degeneracy of the genetic code in two manners: having more than one tRNA (with a specific anti-codon) for a particular amino acid; and 'wobble' base-pairing, i.e. permitting non-standard base-pairing at the 3rd anti-codon position.
Source: RNAcentral
UGGCGGUAUAGCUCAGUUGGUUAGAGCAUGGGAAUCAUAAUCCUGGGGUUGCAAGUUCAAAUCUUGCUAUCGCUAA